RNAcentral lists this long non-coding RNA (140 nucleotides) under Papio anubis (olive baboon). RNAcentral describes it as "lncRNA (ENSPANG00000049377.1)". Lineage: Eukaryota; Metazoa; Chordata; Mammalia; Primates; Cercopithecidae. The record is from RNAcentral.
GAGGAGGGAUCUCAAUGUUAUGGAGGCGGGCAAGUCCAAGAUCAAGGAGCCAGCAGAUCCAGUGUCUGGUGAGAGGUUACUUCCUGGAUGCUGGACAGAAAUCUGCUGAGAGUGAUAUGAUUAUGAUGUUAAUGGUUUGA